Molecule: ribosomal RNA, 270 nt
Filed under: uncultured microorganism
Description: partial 16S ribosomal RNA
Rfam family: Bacterial small subunit ribosomal RNA
Source: RNAcentral
GCGCAGCAGGCGCGAAUCUUCCCCAAUGGACGAAAGUCUGAGGGAGCGACGCCGCGUGAAUGAAGAAGCCCUUCGGGGUGUAAAAUUCUUUUCUUUAGGAAAAUUCGUGAUGGUACUAAAGGGAAUAAGGGGCCGCCAAACUCGUGCCAGCAGGCGGCGGUAAUACGGAGUGCCCCGAGCGUUACCCGGAAUUACUGGGCGUAAAGCGGCUAAGAGGCGGUUUGAUAAGUCAGACGUCAAAUCUCCGAGCUCAACUCGGAGCCGGUGUCU